Molecule: RNA transcript, 4071 nt
Organism: Oncorhynchus keta (chum salmon)
Lineage: Eukaryota; Metazoa; Chordata; Actinopteri; Salmoniformes; Salmonidae
Gene name: 60 kDa lysophospholipase-like
Exons: 17
Source: RefSeq, a predicted model, not a curated record
AUCAUCAUUGUGAAUCAUUAUAUUUACUUAGGUUUAUAAUAAAAUCAAGCAGAUUAGUAACAUUACAGUUCUGAUAUAGCGUAGUUUCUCUGUAAAUUGCGUUUUGUCACUUCACAACAACUUGUCAUUAUUGUCUGUCACUUUAAGAACAUCCCUUGGUUUGACUUCCACUCUUCCCCCGCCAUCAGUUGUCUAGUCAUCAUGGCGGAAUGUAAAAAGUAUAUCUUAUGUCCGUCUCCAGCUUCAGUAAUGACCUCUGUCGCUAGAGCUUUGUCCCAUUCAAGGUUGAGUCAACUUGAUCAGUCUGUGUUCAAGUCGCAUACUUCUGUUUACCGGAGCAAUGUGGUACAGCCAGGCCGAAGGAGGAGGUUGUCGAGCAGCAACAGUGUUGAGUCUCUGGAUGUGAGCCCCAGUGCUGAAGCGCGAGUCUUGGUCAUCAACACCGGAGGAACUAUCGGGAUGAUGUACCAUAAUAACGUGCUGUGCCCAGAGCCUAAUGUGUUUGUGAAGGCCCUGCGAAAGCUUCCCAACCUCCAUGAUGAGCAGUAUGCCCUGCAGACCCGUAUGUAUGACUACUACAGCACAAGUGGCCCACAGGAGAACACCCUUGUCCUGCCGCUGUGCAAACAAAAUAAGAGGAUAGUGUACACUGUUUUAGAGUACAGUCCCUUGCUGGACUCUUGCAAUAUGACCACAGAUGACUGGGCUACAAUUGGGAAGGACAUUGAGAAACACUAUGAGAAGUAUGACGGUUUUGUCAUUCUCCACGGCACGGACACCAUGGCCUACACAGCAUCCGCUCUGUCCUUCAUGUGUGAGCAUCUGGGGAAGCCUGUCAUCCUCACCGGCUCCCAGGUGCCGAUCUAUGAGAUGAGGAACGAUGGAAGAGACAACCUGUUGGGGGCGCUGCUGAUCGCUGGUCAGUUUGUUAUUCCUGAGGUUUGUUUGUAUUUCCACCACAAGCUGUACCGGGGGAACCGUGUAACCAAGGUGGAUUCUGGGAGUUUCAAUGCCUUCAGUUCUCCUAACUUGGCUCCUCUGGCCAUUGCUGAAGUGGAUAUUAAAAUUAACUGGGACACGGUGUGGCGAGUGAACACAACCUCGCAGUUCAGAGUGAGCACUCUGAUGAACCGUAACGUGGGUCUGCUGAGACUCUUCCCAGGCAUCACUGCGAUGACCGUGAAGUCCUUCCUGCAGGCGCCCAUGGAGGGCAUUGUCCUGGAGACGUAUGGUAGUGGAAACGCCCCUGAUAACUGUGCUGACCUGCUUGAGGAGUUCCGAAAUGCCACAGAGAGGGGUGUGAUCAUGGUCAACUGCACCCAGUGUCUGAGGGGUUCUGUCACCACAUCGUACGCCACUGGAAAGGCCUUGAGUGACGCAGGACUGGUGGCAGGCUGUGACAUGACUCCUGAGGCUGCCCUGUGCAAGCUGUCCUACGUGCUGGCCAGGACGGACCUCAGCAUAGAGGCCAAAAGAAAGAUGCUGAGUCAGAACCUGCGGGGAGAGAUGAUCGCUGACCUGCAGGGGGCCAAGCUCACUCUGAGUGACAGUCGCUUCAUCCAGGUCAUCGCCAAGUCCCUGAGCAUCAGCUGUAAGGAGGAGCUAGAAGCCGUCCGGGAUGCUCUGACACCCACCUUAGCUUGUGCCGCUUCUAAGAUAGGAGACUUGGAGGCCUUGGAUGCCAUAAAGGAGAUGGGCAGUAACUUAAGUCUGGGGGACUAUGAUGGACGUACCCCUCUGCACAUCGCUUCCUGUGAGGGCCACCUCAAUGUGGUGCAGUAUCUACUGAGCCAGGGCGCCACUGUCUACGCCAAAGAUCGCUAUGGGGACACACCCCUGCGCAAUGCUGUGCGCUUCAGACACAAAGAGGUGGUGAAGCUGCUGAGAAAGACUGGAGCUCAUUUCUCCAGGGAUGAGUUGGAGGAUGCCGGCUCAGAGCUGUGCAGUCUGGCAGCCAGUGCUGACAUCAAGGGCCUGGAGAUGUGGCACCUGGCUGGGGGAGACCUAGACACGCCAGGCUACGACGGGCAGACGCCGAUGGAGGUGAUGCACAAUUGAGAGCAUCCUGUUGGACUGUAUAUCACCACCUGGUACGGCAACUGCACGAUCAUCAAGGACAACAACCACCCGAGCCAGUGCCUGUUCAUCCAGAAGUUGAGGCUAAGGCUGUGGGGAAUGAAGUUGUGAUUGACUUCAUACACCAGGUCAGCCAGUCCCACGCCCAGAAUGGAGAAUACAUUGAGUUCUCAGCCUGUCCAAAAGAAUCCUGAAGACUAAGAUAGAUCCUCAACUCUUUUACCUCUCCAUCCAUCCCCAUCACUCUCCAUAUCUCUUUCCAUUUCACUCUCUUACACUGGACAUUUGCACAAGCUUGCAGAUUUUAUUUAGAUUCAUCCAAACCAUUUUACAAUUGAUAUGUUUGCGAUAAUCUCAUUUACUGUUGCUUAACUGUAGUUGUAAAAGCACUAGUAGCACAACAUUGGAUGUCAAGUAAUAUGGAUGCACUGUGCCUAGAACGGGCAGCACUAUAUCUGUUUGCUUUGUAUGUACCACAGUAUAUGAUGCAUGUGGAGCAAUUCACUCGGUUUGCAUUAAGAGUAUUAUCAGUGAUCAUUGGAAGCACAGGGUAGAAUGCUGUACUUUAUGCUAGGCACUUGAUGGGUAGAAUGCUGUACUUUAUGCUAGGCACUUGAUGGGUAGAAUGCUGUACUUUAUGCUAGGCACUUGAUGGGUAGAAUGCGGUGCCUUUAGAUGUACUUUAUGAAAUGCUUAGUGUAGAGUGCAAUUUAUUCUAAACUGAAAUCCUUGUGAAAUCCUUCUAAACUGAAAUCAUAGUCUGAUGACAAAAAAAUAGAACCGUUUGCCCAUAAUGACCAUCGUUAUGUUUGGAGGAAAAAGGGCGAUGCUUGCAAGCCGAAGAACACCAUCCCAACCGCGAAGCACGUGGGUGGCAGCAUCAGGUUGUGGGCGUGCUUUGCUGUAGGAGGGACUGGUGCGCUUCACAAAAUAAAUGGCAUCAUGAGGAUGGAAAAUUAUGUGGAUAUAUUGAAGCAACAUCUCAAGACAUCAGUCAGGAAGUUAAAGCUUGGUCGCAAAUGAGUCUUCCAAAUGGACAAUGACCCCAAGCAUACUUCCAAAGUUGUGGCAAAAUGGAUUAAGGACAACAAAGUCAAGGUAUUGGAGUGGCUAUCCUAACUGACCUAAAACAGGGAAUUUUUACAUGAUUAAAUGUCAGGAAUUGUAAAAAACCGAGUUUAAAUGUAUUUGGCUAAGGUGUAUGUAAACUUCCGACUUCAACUGUGUAUAUAUAUAUAUAUCCUUCUACAUAUACAUAUAUAUAUAUAUAUAUAUAUAUAUAUAUAUAUAUAUAUAUAUAUAUAUAUAUAUAUAUAUAUAUAUACAUACAUACAUACAUACAUACAUACAUACAUACAUACAUACAUACAUACAUACAUACAUAUAUAUACAUAUAUAUAUAUAUGUUCACUCUCCUCCGUGUUUGUGUUGCAAAUUUUCUUCUACACAAGCGCUAAGAUUCGUCCAAUUGACAUAAAAUAUUGCCAUCAAGAGUGUGAUAGAGCAUACUGAAACAAUAGAAACAUUUCUAUCGUCACAUGAUAUACAGUGCCUUGCGAAAGUAUUCGGCCCCUUUGAACUUUGGGACCUUUUGUGGGACUAAUUUGGGGCUCUGGGGCUUGAACUGACAAUUUAUUUAUGGCUUGGUGAUAACCUACAGCCUGCAUUCCAUAGACAAGAUGUGGCGUGUGACUCAAGAUGGAGAUAGCCUGGAGGAGUAGAACAAAACCCCUUAUUGUUUCUAAUCAUCCUUGCAUCUGGGAAACUAAACUGUGUUGGGGGUAAAACAAGAUGAACCCAAGGUGGCUUACGAUGCCCCGAUCUGCAUGGGAGGGGUGGAAUCAGCCAUGACUAAGCAUUUUUAGGCCUACUAUAUAAGACCUCUGUUUUUUCAUUAUUGUGAAGGCUCUCAGUCCAACACUCGGCUGUGGGGUCGACAGCGUCAUUAUUGCAAUAAUUAAUCAAUAUUAAAUAAAGAUGAUUGUUUUGAAGAAA